Molecule: ribosomal RNA, 486 nt
Filed under: uncultured bacterium
Lineage: Bacteria
Description: bacterial SSU rRNA
Rfam family: Bacterial small subunit ribosomal RNA
Source: RNAcentral
GAACGCUGGCGGCAGGCCUAAUACAUGCAAGUCGAACGGCAGCACGGCAGAGCUUGCUCUGUGGGUGGCGAGUGGCGGACGGGUGAGGAAUACAUGGGAAUCUGCCCAGUCGUGGGGAUGACGUAGGGAAACUUACGCUAAUACCGCAUGCGCCCUUCGGGGGAAAGCCGGGGACCUUCGGGCCUGGCGCGAUUGGAUGAGCCCAUGUCGGAUUAGCUAGUUGGCGGGGUAAUGGCCCACCAAGGCGACGAUCCGUAGCUGGUCUGAGAGGAUGAUCAGCCACACUGGAACUGAGACACGGUCCAGACUCCUACGGGAGGCAGCAGUAGGGAAUAUUGGACAAUGGGCGCAAGCCUGAUCCAGCCAUGCCGCGUGAGUGAAGAAGGCCCUCGGGUUGUAAAGCUCUUUUGUCCGGAAAGAAAAGCGCCGGGUUAAUACCCUGGUGUCCUGACGGUACCGGAAGAAUAAGCACCGGCUAACUUCGUG